CGGACACCUUUUUUUGUUAUCUAAAGGCGAAGACUCUGAAGUGGGCGAACACUCGGCCCAGCGGGCGAACAUGGCGGGCUCCGGCUCCGCGCACCUGCUGACACCUUUCGAAGCACUUUCGAGUGUGCGCUUUCGUUUUCGAAUGUGUCGUUCAGCCUCACGAGUCUACAAGCCUUUCUCAUUCCAGUGCUCGCCUUUUAGUAGGGGCCUUUAGUCUUUUGAUUAGAGUAGGGGUCCCGAGAGAGCGGAG
This 250-nucleotide unclassified non-coding RNA is filed under the name Hevea brasiliensis (rubber tree). The record is from RNAcentral. Lineage: Eukaryota; Viridiplantae; Streptophyta; Magnoliopsida; Malpighiales; Euphorbiaceae.